AGCUAGGAAUGACAGUUUAAAGGAAUACUUCUUUUCUUCAGAGGACUUGGAACUCUAGUGGGGCGAGAGAGAAGAAUAAACUGCAGAAUCACUGAGGAGCAAAAUCCUACGGAAAUCUGUAUGAUGUGCUGCAAGCCUAGCGCACGAGCUCCCCUCUCUUCGUUUGGGGGGAGGCCUCACAUGACGCUGCGGCUGAAUCCUGGAGGAUGAGUAGAAAUUUGCAAGGGAGCAAAUGAAGAAAGGAAGCACCAGGCGUGGAGCAGCGAGGGCCCAGCAGAGGUACUGGAUGCCCCAAAACUGCUCACUGGGGCCCGGGAGCUCAGGAUUUCCAGAGAUGUGUGCUCAAAAGCCAGUGUAAAGAGUCAAGGACAAGGUGGAGCUGAAAAGACGGUUGGCGUCCCAGCAAGUGAUGCUCGUGAGUUGAGGAAGAGGCAGAAGCAACACUGAAUUCAUUCAUAGCAAAAGGAUUUCUUGAUCCAGCCUCCACUGUGUACAGAAAAAUUAUCUCAAAGGAAGGUAGGCCCUUUGGGUCUUCCAGAACCUGCUAGCGUCUCUGGAACAGGCUGAAUUGCUGUGGACUUGGGAUUCUUUGGUCAACUUGUCAGAGCAUGUCCAGUGUUUGAACAGCACCAGCUUAUGCACAGGAUGGCAGAAGGAAGGAAAGCACUUAGAAGCCACACAGCUAAUUUCAUUGGUAAACUGGAUGGAGGAGAGUGGCACAUGGAAGCUCUUGUCACAGCAAGUCAAGAUUCUUAUGUAAAUGCUCUGAGCUUGAGUCUGCCCUCCAAUAAACGCUUUCCCUACAGCCACCACCACCUCAUGCAGCAUCCAGUCUAUGCUGUUGUUCACUGUGUAUUUGUGGGCAACUGCCUUCUAGAUGUGCUCCCAGGAUGAACCAUGAGCAGCUCAAAGCCUUCUGUGCUGGUGGAAAAGAAAUGAAACAGCCAGCAUAUGCCUCAGGGAGGAAGAAAGCCCUUGGAGCAGAGAAAGAGGCUGGAAUUGCUUGGAGCAGUUGACCAAGAACUUGGCACCAUAGAGAACCUGACUGCUUCCAGAAUCAGGGCACACAGCUGCAUGGAACAAGAAUCAAAGGGUCCAAGAGACCCAGGGGACUGGGUCCUGGAGAACUACUUUGCCCAAGACCAGAAGCCAAGGGAGGGAGGUAGAUACAGAUGGACCUAGAUGAGAUGCAGACUUCUCAAGGAGCCACAUGUGAGAUCUGGGCUCAGACACUUGAAUUAGGUAUGAUCUCUAGUAAGACAUAUUUUGAUUCAGGGAAGGCUGGAUAAUGAACAUUUUGUAAGAAUUGAACCAGUACCUUUCUUAGAGUUUGAGCCCUUACCAAGUUUGAAUGUACUAUAAAAUAGCCAUUUUACCCUAUUUAAGAACAGGCUAAAGGAUUCUGCUAAAGAUGUGUUUCUGAAGAAAAAAAAUGAAGAUGAAAUAGCGCCUUAAAAAAAUCUUUUUCCUUCUAAUUCUUCUGACUGUAGAAAAUUUGUGAAAUACAGGAAAAUAUAAAGAAGAAACAGAAAGCAAUCAUAUAUACACCAACCCAUAGUAAUAACUUUUCUAUUUCCCAGCCUUUGUACAGUGAGUUUCAAUGUAGCUUUUAUCAUAUUGAAACCAUAGUUUGUGUCCUGCACAUUUAGCUUAAUAUUACAACACAUGCAUUUGUCCUUUGUUAUUGAGAAUGUACUUGAAAAAUGAAAUUCUUAAUGACUGUAAACCAUCCUACUCUACUAAGCACCACACUUUCUAAUCUUUACAUAGUUUUGAACAUUUAAAUGCUUUCCAAUAGUUUAAUAACUUAAACAGUUUUGUAGUAAACAUAUUUACACAUAAGGUUUAACUACUAAUAAGGAUUAUUUCCUUGGAAUUUCAUCAGAAGAGUUAUACACUAUUAAGCAUUUUGACAUUGUGCAUUUAUACUACCAUGGGAAUGCUGAUUUCUUCUCAGCCAUUACUCCACACUUGAAAUAAAAUACGAGUUGACCAUGAUCAGCAAUGUUUAAAGCAUUUAGGAUAUGUCUAUACUAGUCAGGCAUUUUAUAUCAGUUAGAAAUUCCUUUCAGAUACACUAAAGGAAAUCAGUUAAAUAGUGACUUUGGAGGGUUUAUUUCAGGUAAUGAUAGAAGAUGGAGUUUAGAAUAUCCAGGGGUAUUACUGCAGCUCCACAAAGUCAUCCAGGAAUCCGGGCGACUUUUAUUUUCCUGCUUUGUCAUCUCUGUCAUUGUUAGCUUGUGCCUUUCAG
Molecule: non-coding RNA, 2251 nt
Organism: Manis javanica (Malayan pangolin)
Lineage: Eukaryota; Metazoa; Chordata; Mammalia; Pholidota; Manidae
Source: RefSeq, a predicted model, not a curated record